Non-coding RNA from Pelobates cultripes (western spadefoot toad), 523 nucleotides. Lineage: Eukaryota; Metazoa; Chordata; Amphibia; Anura; Pelobatidae. The record is from the annotation of a GenBank genome assembly.
CUUUCUUUUUGUAUUGAGGUAGACUAAGUAAAGUGCUUGUACUGGAUCGGAGGUUAUAGAAAGUGGGAACAGCUGGGGAAAGCAUUUUGUUCAGGUAGGGUGGGAGUUUCCCAGAAAAGCUCUUAAAAACAAGGCUGGAAAGAUGAAGUGUGCGUCUGGAUUCCAGCGACAGCCAGUUUAGUUCCUUUAGCAUGUCACAAUGAUGGGUCCUGUAAUUACAUUGUAGCACAAAUCGGCAGAACGAGUUAUACAAUGUGUUGAGUUUAUUAAUGUGGGAUCGCGAUGCAGACGCAUAUACUACAUCCCCAUAAUCAAUGAUUGGCAUCAGCAUUUGUUGUACAAUCUUUUCCUUUACUGUAGGGCUUAGGCAGGAUUUGUUUCUGUACAGGGCACCUAAUUUUGGAUAAAGUUUAGAUGCAAGCUUUUCUAUGUGCAGGCCAAAAGAUAGAUUGGGGUCUAAUAUCAUACCCAAGUAUUUGAAAGAGUGGACUGCGGUCAGUGUGCCAUUUGAAUUUGUUUUGAU